Molecule: ribosomal RNA, 391 nt
Filed under: uncultured bacterium
Lineage: Bacteria
Description: bacterial SSU rRNA
Rfam family: Bacterial small subunit ribosomal RNA
Source: RNAcentral
GACGAACGCUGGCGGCGUGCUUAACACAUGCAAGUCGAGCGAGGCCCUUCCUUCGGGAAGGUGCCCUAGCGGCGAACGGGUGAGUAACACGUGGGCAACCUGCCCCUAGCACUGGGAUAACUCCGGGAAACCGGGGCUAAUACCGGAUAUGACCUUUGAGGGCAUCCUCUUUGGUGUAAAGGAUUCUGGCUAGGGAUGGGCCCGCGGCCUAUCAGCUUGUUGGUGGGGUAACGGCCUACCAAGGCGACGACGGGUAGCCGGCCUGAGAGGGCGACCGGCCACACUGGGACUGAGACACGGCCCAGACUCCUACGGGAGGCAGCAGUGGGGAAUAUUGCACAAUGGGCGAAAGACCUGAUGCAGCGACGCCGCGUGAGGGAUGACUGCCUUC